AGACCCGAAACCCGGUGAUCUAGCCAUGGGCAGGUUGAAGGUUGGGUAACACUAACUGGAGGACCGAACCGACUAAUGUUGAAAAAUUAGCGGAUGACCUGUGGCUGGGGGUGAAAGGCCAAUCAAACCGGGAGAUAGCUGGUUCUCCCCGAAAGCUAUUUAGGUAGCGCCUCGUGAAUUCAUCUCCGGGGGUAGAGCACUGUUUCGGCUAGGGGGCCAUCCCGGCUUACCAACCCGAUGCAAACUGCGAAUACCGGAGAAUGUUAUCACGGGAGACACACGGCGGGUGCUAACGUCCGUCGUGAAGAGGGAAACAACCCAGACCGCCAGCUAAGGUCCCAAAGUCAUGGUUAAGUGGGAAACGAUGUGGGAAGGCCCAGACAGCCAGGAUGUUGGCUUAGAAGCAGCCAUCAUUUAAAGAAAGCGUAAUAGCUCACUGGUCGAGUCGGCCUGCGCGGAAGAUGUAACGGGGCUAAACCAUGCACCGAAGCUGCGGCAGCGAACGUAUCACCCAAGACAACUUUACGGAGUUGACGAUUGACGGAGCGAAGCGACGUCAAAGCGUUCAUUAAAGUCGAGUUGGCUUAGGGAUACGUUCGUUGGGUAGGGGAGCGUUCUGUAAGCCUGUGAAGGUGUGUCGUGAGGCAUGCUGGAGGUAUCAGAAGUGCGAAUGCUGACAUAAGUAACGAUAAAGCGGGUGAAAAGCCCGCUCGCCGGAAGACCAAGGGUUCCUGUCCAACGUUAAUCGGGGCAGGGUGAGUCGACCCCUAAGGCGAGGCCGAAAGGCGUAGUCGAUGGGAAACGGGUUAAUAUUCCCGUACUUGGUGUUACUGCGAAGGGGGGACGGAGAAGGCU
RNAcentral lists this ribosomal RNA (855 nucleotides) under Salmonella enterica. RNAcentral describes it as "partial 23S ribosomal RNA". It matches the Rfam family "Bacterial large subunit ribosomal RNA", at positions 711 to 1483 of the family's 2925-position model. The record is from RNAcentral. RNAcentral also lists the same sequence under 1 other name. Lineage: Bacteria; Pseudomonadati; Pseudomonadota; Gammaproteobacteria; Enterobacterales; Enterobacteriaceae.